AACUUUUGACAACGGAUCUCUUGGUUCUCGCAUCGAUGAAGAACGCAGCGAAAUGCGAUAAGUAAUGUGAAUUGCAGAUUUUCGUGAAUCAUUGAAUCUUUGAACGCACAUUGCGCCCUCUGGUAUUCCGGAGGGCAUGCCUGUUUGAGCGUCAUUUCCUUCUCAUACCCCUAGGGUUUGGUGAUGAGUGAUACUUCGCAAGAAGUUCAUUUGAAAUGAAUUGGCAUGAGUUUUUGUUAUAAUUAACAGUUUGUUUAUUCAAUGUAUUAGGUUUUACCAUCGUUGAUUGACGGCUGACGAGUAUAAUGAAGUAUGGCUCUGCCUAACAAACUUUAUCAUAAAGUUUGACCUCAAAUCAGGUAGGAUUACCCGCUGAACUUAAGCAUAUCAAUAAGCGGAGGCU
RNAcentral lists this unclassified non-coding RNA (403 nucleotides) under uncultured Saccharomycetes. RNAcentral describes it as "sequence contains ITS2". The stretch from base 1 to 154 matches the Rfam family "5.8S ribosomal RNA". Lineage: Eukaryota; Fungi; Ascomycota; Saccharomycetes. The record is from RNAcentral.